RNAcentral lists this microRNA precursor (101 nucleotides) under Marmota monax (woodchuck). Lineage: Eukaryota; Metazoa; Chordata; Mammalia; Rodentia; Sciuridae. The record is from RNAcentral.
AGUAGAAUUGCUGGGUUGUAUAGUAACUCUAUAUUUAAUCUUUUGAAAAGUUGCCAAACUUUUUCAAAGUGGCUGCACUGUUUUCAAUUCUCACCAGUAGU